GGCGCCUCCAUUCAAGUUUUAACAAGAGUCGCCAUAUGAACAACUUUCAUGUUCAUCAAAAAUCCAUUUGAAACUUGGAAGCUCAUCAUUCAUUUCAAAACAUUAUAGGUCAUUUUGACAGAAACCCUAAUUUUGGGUCAACUUCGCAGGGACCUAACUCACUCAUUUUUAAUUAUUUUGAGGUGGGACCAAGUGCAUUGCAAAAUUUAAGAUGUCUACUUCAGUU
Molecule: long non-coding RNA, 226 nt
Filed under: Lathyrus oleraceus (garden pea)
Lineage: Eukaryota; Viridiplantae; Streptophyta; Magnoliopsida; Fabales; Fabaceae
Description: Pisum sativum (pea) long non-coding RNA (PSAT_LNC028427)
Source: RNAcentral